This is a long non-coding RNA of Salvelinus fontinalis (brook trout), 1820 nucleotides long. RefSeq lists it as uncharacterized. The transcript is spliced from 3 exons. The record is from RefSeq and is a predicted model, not a curated record. NCBI's taxonomy places the organism in Eukaryota, Metazoa, Chordata, Actinopteri, Salmoniformes, Salmonidae.
UGUGAGGGUUAACAGACAGUAGUCAGGCUUGCCUUUCAGUCAGGUGUCAGUGUGAGGGUUAACAGACAGUAGUCAGGCUUGCCUUUCAGUCAGUUGUCAGUGUGAGGGUUAACAGACAGUAGUCAGGAAUGGUCUUCAGUCAGGUGUCAGUGUGAGGGUUAACAGACAGUAGUCAGGCUUGCCUUUCAGUCAGGUGUCAGUGUGAGGGUUAACAGACAGUAGUCAGGCUUUCCUUUCAGUCAGGUGUCAGUGUGAGGGUUAACAGACAGUAGUCAGGAAUGAUCUUCAGUCAGGUGUCAGUGUGAGGGUUAACAGACAGUAGUCAGUCUUGCUUUUCAGCCAGGUGUCAGUGUGAGGGUUAACAGACAGUAGUCAGGCUUGCCUUUCAGUCAGGUGUCAGUGUGAGGGUUAACAGACAGUAGUCAGGCUUGAUCUUCAGUCAGGUGUCAGUGUGAGGGUUAACAGACAGUAGUCAGGCUUGCCUUUCAGUCAGGUGUCAGUGUGAGGGUUAUAAGACAGUAGUCAGGAAUGGUCUUCAGUCAGGUGUCAGUGUGAGGGUUAACAGACAGUAGUCAGGCUUGCCUUUCAGUCAGGUGUCAGUGUGAGGGUUAACAGACAGUAGUCAGGCUUGCCUUUCAGUCAGGUGUCAGUGUGAGGGUUAACAGACAGUAGUCAGGCUUGCAUUUCAGUCAGGUGUCAGUGUGAGUGUUAACAGACAGUAGUCAGGCUUGCCUUUCAGUCAGGUGUCAGUGUGAGGGUUAAAAGACAGUAGGCAGGCUUGCCUUUCAGUCAGGUGUCAGUGUGAGGGUUAACAGACAGUAGUCAGGCUUGCCUUUCAGUCAGGUGUCAGUGUGAGGGUUAACAUACAGUAGUCAGGCUUGCCUUUCAGUCAGGUGUCAGUGUGAGGGUUAACAGACAGUAGUCAGGAAUGAUCUUCAGUCAGGUGUCAGUGUGAGGGUUAACAGACAGUAGUCAGGCUUGCCUUUCAGUCAGGUGUCAGUGUGAGGGUUAACAGACAGUAGUCAGGCUUGCCUUUCAGUCAGGUGUCAGUGUGAGGGUUAACAGACAGUAGUCAGGCUUGCCUUUCAGUCAGUUGUCAGUGUGAGGGUUAACAGACAGUAGUCAGGAAUGAUCUUCAGUCAGGUGUCAGUGUGAGGGUUAACAGACAGUAGUCAGGCUUGCAUUUUAGUCAGGUGUCAGUGUGAGGGUUAACAGACAGUAGUCAGGCUUGCCUUUCAGUCAGGUGUCAGUGUGAGGGUUAACAGACAGUAGUCAGGCUUGAUCUUCAGUCAGGUGUCAGUGUGAGGGUUAACAGACAGUAGUCAGGCUUGCCUUUCAGUCAGGUGUCAGUGUGAGGGUUAUAAGACAGUAGUCAGGAAUGGUCUUCAGUCAGGUGUCAGUGUGAGGGUUAACAGACAGUAGUCAGGCUUGCCUUUCAGUCAGGUGUCAGUGUGAGGGUUAACAGACAGUAGUCAGGCUUGCCUUUCAGUCAGUUGUCAGUGUGAGGGUUAACAGACAGUAGUCAGGCUUGAUCUUCAGUCAGGUGUCAGUGUGAGGGUUAACAGACAGUAGUCAGGCUUGCCUUUCAGUCAGGUGUCAGUGUGAGGGUUAACAGACAGUAGUCAGGCUUGCCUUUCAGUCAGGUGUCAGUAUGAGGGUGAACAGACAGUAGUCAGGCUUGCCUUUCAGUCAGGUGUCAGGGUGAGGGUUAUAAGACAGUAGUCAGGAAUGAUCUUCAGUCAGGUGUCAGUGUGAGGGUUAACAGACAGUAGUCAGGCUUGCCUUUCAGUCAGGUGUCAGUGUGAGGGUUAACAGACAGU